UACGAAGGGGGCUAGCGUUGCUCGGAUUGACUGGGCGUAAAGGGCGCGUAGGCGGUUUGUACAGUCAGACGUGAAAUUCCUGGGCUCAACCUGGGGGCUGCGUUUGAUACGUGCGAGCUUGAGUUCGGAAGAGGGUCGUGGAAUUCCCAGUGUAGAGGUGAAAUUCGUAGAUAUCGAGAGGAACACCGGUGGCGAAGGCGGCCAACUGGACGAACACUGACGCUGAGACACGAAAGCGUGGGGAGCAAACAGG
RNAcentral lists this ribosomal RNA (253 nucleotides) under uncultured bacterium. RNAcentral's name for it is "partial 16S ribosomal RNA". It matches the Rfam family "Bacterial small subunit ribosomal RNA", at positions 524 to 776 of the family's 1533-position model. The record is from RNAcentral.